This 379-nucleotide ribosomal RNA is filed under the name uncultured eukaryote. RNAcentral describes it as "partial 18S ribosomal RNA". It matches the Rfam family "Eukaryotic small subunit ribosomal RNA", at positions 592 to 975 of the family's 1831-position model. The record is from RNAcentral.
CAAUAGCGUAUAUUAAAGUUGUUGCGGUUAAAAAGCUCGUAGUUGGAUUUCUGCUGAGAACGACCGGUCCACCCUCUGGGUGUGUAUCUGGCUCUUUCCUGGCAUCUUCUUGGUGAACGUUGCUGCACUUGACUGUGUGGAGCGCUACCCAGGACUUUUACUUUGAGGAAAUUAGAGUGUUUCAAGCAGGCAUACGCCUUGAAUACAUUAGCAUGGAAUAAUAAGAUAGGACCUCGGUUCUAUUUUGUUGGUUUCUAGAGCUGAGGUAAUGAUUAAUAGGGAUAGUUGGGGGCAUUCGUAUUUAACUGUCAGAGGUGAAAUUCUUGGAUUUGUUAAAGACGGACUACUGCGAANGNAUUUGCNAAGGAUGUUUNCAUUG